Molecule: ribosomal RNA, 497 nt
Filed under: uncultured bacterium
Lineage: Bacteria
Description: partial 16S ribosomal RNA
Rfam family: Bacterial small subunit ribosomal RNA
Source: RNAcentral
GAUGGACGCUGGCGGCGUGCCUAAUACAUGCAAGUCGAGCGAACGGACGAUAAGCUUGUUUCUCUGAUGUUAGCGGCGGACGGGUGAGUAACACGUGGAUAACCUACCUAUAUUUCUGGGAUAACUUCGGGAAACCGGAGCUAAUACCGGAUGAUAUUUUGAACCGCAGGGUUCAAAAGUGAAAGACGGUUUUGCUGUCACUAAUAGAUGGUUCCGCGCUGCAUUAGCUAGUUGGUAAGGUAACGGCUUACCAAGGCAACGAUGCGUAGCCGACCUGAGAGGGUGAUCGGCCACACUGGAACUGAGACACGGUCCAGACUCCUACGGGAGGCAGCAGUAGGGAAUCUUCCGCAAUGGGCGAAAGCCUGACGGAGCAACGCCGCGUGAGUGAUGAAGGUCUUCGGAUCGUAAAGCUCUGUUAUUAGGGAAGAACAGAUGUGUAAGUAACUGUGCCCAUCUUGACGGUACCUAAUCAGAAAGCCACGGCUAACUACGUG